UACGUAGGGUGCGAGCGUUGCCCGGAUUUAUUGGGCGUAAAGGGCGCGUAGGCGGCCACCGCAAGUCGACUGUGAAAUCUCCGGGCUUAACCCGGAAAGGUCAGCCGAUACUGCGGGGCUAGAGUGCAGAAGGGGCAACUGGAAUUCUCGGUGUAGCGGUGAAAUGCGUAGAUAUCGAGAGGAACACCUGCGGCGAAAGCGGCUCACUGGACCACAACUGACGCUGAUGCACGAAAGCUAGGGGAGCAAACAGG
This 254-nucleotide ribosomal RNA is filed under the name uncultured bacterium. Its description in RNAcentral is "partial 16S ribosomal RNA". It matches the Rfam family "Bacterial small subunit ribosomal RNA", at positions 524 to 776 of the family's 1533-position model. The record is from RNAcentral.